Humulus lupulus (European hop) is the source of this 1188-nucleotide RNA transcript. It is a transcript of the gene named protein MICRORCHIDIA 7-like, with no coding region annotated. NCBI's taxonomy places the organism in Eukaryota, Viridiplantae, Streptophyta, Magnoliopsida, Rosales, Cannabaceae. The record is from RefSeq and is a predicted model, not a curated record. The transcript has 8 exons.
CCAGCCGAACAUUCAGCCCCUCUACUUCCAACCGAACAUUCAGCCCCUCUACUUCCAGCCGAACAUUCAGCCACCUGCAACGCCGUCGACGUCGAACCACCAGCCACCUGCGACGGCGAAGUUCACCACUACCUCCUUGAUCUAUGGCGCCUCGUUCUUGACUGCCAUGGUAAAGUUUCUUCAUUUUGUAGUAGUGCCACCGCCUCUCACUCGCUCACCCUCUCCCCUUCUCUCAGCUGUUCAUCCUCUCCCUCUCCAUGUCUUAUUCUUCUCCUCUCUUGCACGAAUGGUGGGCCUCACAAACGAAGGGUCGAAGGGGUGACUGAUGAACGGCAGAGGUCAAAGGGGGCUCAUGAAUCAAAGGUGGUGGAGGACAGACGGUGGCGAGUCCAACUCAUGGGGUGGCUUAGGAGCAUAUUCGCAUGGUGGCAUGGAUCACAUCAGGGUUCAUCCAAAGUUUCUUCAUUCAAAUGCAACCUGUCAUAAGUGGGCUCUUGGAGCUUUUGCUGAGCUGAUAAUGCAUUGGAUGAGGUCUGCAGUGGUGUCACAUAUGCAAAUAUCGAUAUGCUUACUAAUAAGAAAGAUGGGAGUAGAAUGUUGGUAAUCGAAGGAUAUUCAAAUUAGAGUGGUCAAUCGAGAUGAGAAGAGUAUACAAAUGGCUAAACAGUACCCCAAUUCCCGGCACUUCUUGACUUAUCGACACUCAUUGAGGAUGACGAUGAUGGACCCUUGACGUGAUCAAUGGCACUAUCUAACCGCUACACCAUUGGCAAUUCUUGGAGAUUUAGUCCUUUCAAAUUAUUUACAUAACUACUCCUUCCAAACUUAGCAACUUUCAUUUUCUCAUUCAUGGCAAGUCAAUUCUUAUUUUGGAAAGACUAUUGAUGACGAGGGUGAGUACACAGACAAGAAGAAGAAAUAUGUUGUUAGACAAUGAAUUUAGUGUUUUAUUUUAUUUGUAAUUUUUAUUAGAGCAAAUGAUUCUUUUUUGAGUGGUUAAUUAUUUACUUUGUAAAUCUAGUUAUAUGUAUUUUUAAGGUCAAGAUGAUUAUGUUUAUAGACAAGGCUAUGUAUUUUUUAGUCAAGUAGUAGUGUUAUAUUUGUUCCAAAAUUUGUUUUAUUAGAUUUGUAAAUACUUUGUAUAAGUUUUGUUAUUUUAAUAUAUAAGUUUUUAGAUUUGUAUAUAAA